UACGUAGGGUGCGAGCGUUGUCCGGAAUUAUUGGGCGUAAAGAGCUCGUAGGCGGUGUGUCACGUCGGCCGUGAAAACCUGGGGCUUAACUCUGGGCGUGCGGUCGAUACGGGCAUCACUAGAGUUCGGCAGGGGAGACUGGAAUUCCUGGUGUAGCGGUGAAAUGCGCAGAUAUCAGGAGGAGCACCGGUGGCGAAGGCGGGUCUCUGGGCCGAUACUGACGCUGAGGAGCGAAAGCAUGGGUAGCGAACAGG
This 254-nucleotide ribosomal RNA is filed under the name uncultured bacterium. RNAcentral describes it as "partial 16S ribosomal RNA". It matches the Rfam family "Bacterial small subunit ribosomal RNA", at positions 524 to 776 of the family's 1533-position model. The record is from RNAcentral.